GACGAACGCUGGCGGCGUGCCUAAUACAUGCAAGUCGAACGAGAGCGCCCGGUGCUUGCACUGGUCAAUCUAGUGGCGAACGGGUGAGUAACACGUGGGUAACCUGCCCAUCAGAGGGGGAUAACAUUCGGAAACGGAUGCUAAAACCGCAUAGGUCUUCGAACCGCAUGGUUUGAAGAGGAAAAGAGGCGCAAGCUUCUGCUGAUGGAUGGACCCGCGGUGCAUUAGCUAGUUGGUGAGGUAACGGCUCACCAAGGCCGUGAUGCAUAGCCGACCUGAGAGGGUGAUCGGCCACAUUGGGACUGAGACACGGCCCAAACUCCUACGGGAGGCAGCAGUAGGGAAUCUUCCGCAAUGGACGCAAGUCUGACGGAGCAACGCCGCGUGAGUGAAGAAGGUUUUCGGAUCGUAAAACUCUGUUGUUAGAGAAGAAUAAGUGCUAGAGUAACUGUUAGCGCCCUGACGGUAUCUAACCAGAAAGCCACGGCUAACUACGUG
RNAcentral lists this ribosomal RNA (498 nucleotides) under uncultured bacterium. Its description in RNAcentral is "partial 16S ribosomal RNA". It matches the Rfam family "Bacterial small subunit ribosomal RNA", at positions 28 to 507 of the family's 1533-position model. The record is from RNAcentral.